UAUGCUUGUAACCAGAGGACUGCUGGUACAUGUGCGUGUGCACUCACAAGGAAACAUAUACACACACACACACGUAAAAAUACAUACACAAAAAACUAAUAG
This 102-nucleotide microRNA precursor is filed under the name Procavia capensis (Cape rock hyrax). RNAcentral's name for it is "miRNA (ENSPCAG00000019868.1)". Lineage: Eukaryota; Metazoa; Chordata; Mammalia; Hyracoidea; Procaviidae. The record is from RNAcentral.